CACCAGCGCCACAAGUGGCAAUCGCAUAUUGGGCCUAAAGCGUCCGUAGUUGGUUUGGUAAAUCUUUUGUGAAAUUGAACGGCUUAACCGUUCACCGUGCAGAAGACACUGCCUUACUUGGAACCGGGAGGAGUGAGAGGUAUUCUGGGGGGAGCGGUAAAAUGUGAUAAUCCUCGGAGGACCACCUGUGGCGAAGGCGUCUCACUAGAACGGAUUCGACAAUGAGGGACGAAGGCUAGGGGAGCAAACC
This 250-nucleotide ribosomal RNA is filed under the name uncultured Candidatus Woesearchaeota archaeon. Its description in RNAcentral is "partial 16S ribosomal RNA". It matches the Rfam family "Archaeal small subunit ribosomal RNA", at positions 474 to 725 of the family's 1478-position model. Lineage: Archaea; Nanobdellati; Candidatus Woesearchaeota. The record is from RNAcentral.